UUGGAGGGCAAGUCUGGUGCCAGCAGCCGCGGUAAUUCCAGCUCCAAUAGCGUAUAUUAAAGUUGUUGCAGUUAAAAAGCUCGUAGUUGAAUUUCGGGAUUGACGUGAUGGUCGUGCCUUACGGGGUAUGAACUGUUGCUGUUGAUUUCUCACCUUCUGGAGAAACUUGAUGUCCUUAAUUGGGUGUCUUGCGGAUCCAGGACCUUUACCUUGAAAAAAUUAGAGUGUUUAAAGCAGGCAUUUUUGCUCGAAUACAUUAGCAUGGAAUAAUAGAAUAGGACGGCAUGGUUCUAUUUUGUUGGUUUCUAGGAUCACCGUAAUGAUUAAUAGGGAUAGCUGGGGGCAUUAGUAUUCAAUUGUCAGAGGUGAAAUUCUUGGAUUUAUUGAAGACUAACUACUGCGAAAGCAUUUGCCAAGGAUGUUUUCAUUAAUCAAGAACGAAAGUUAGGGGAUCGAAGACGAUCAGAUACCGUCGUAGUCUUAACCAUAAACUAUGCCGACUAGGAAUCAGACGAUGUUAAUUUUUUAAUGACUCGUUUGGCACCUUACGGGAAACCAAAGUGUUUGGGUUC
This 572-nucleotide ribosomal RNA is filed under the name uncultured Glomeromycotina. RNAcentral's name for it is "SSU rRNA". It matches the Rfam family "Eukaryotic small subunit ribosomal RNA", at positions 548 to 1114 of the family's 1831-position model. The record is from RNAcentral. Lineage: Eukaryota; Fungi; Glomeromycota.